CUUCCCCCUGGGUGGGGCAGCAAGCCCCAAUAAAAAGGUCCUCUGCUGCACGACUGCCAUCCUCCCGCUCCUCGAGUCCCGGUGACUUUGGAGAAAGUGAUUCUAAGACUCCAGAAAGAUGUCUUAUCAACAGCAGCAGUGCAAGCAGCCCUGCCAUCCACCUCCAGUGUGCCCACCAAAGUGCCCUGAGCCUUGCCCACCUAUAAAGUGUCCAGAGCCUUGCCCACCUAUAAAGUGUCCAGAGCCUUGCCCACCUAUAAAGUGUCCUGAUCCAUGCCCACCUCAGCAGUGCCAGCAGAAAUGCCCUCCUGUGCCACCUCCCCAACCAUGCGAUCCGAAGUGCCCACCCAAGUGCAAGUAACUGCUGCAGGUUCCAUCUGGAUCAGGAAAGGAUAAGGACAAUUGGCUCACCUAGUUCCCCAGCUCCACCUUCAUCUUCUCUUCAAAGCACAUCAUGGAUACAAAAGAAUCUUCUCCACCCUUUGGCCUGCCAUAUGCCUGUGGUGAUGCUGACAGCCCGAGGUUUCCUUCCUGAGGUGGCUGUACUGCUUACCCCAGGAGGUAGCUGAGAAAGCAUGACAGAGCUUCAGAAGGAAGAGCAGCAGCUCUCCUCCUGGGUGCCAUCAGAGGAUUCUCUCCCUGUCUUCAGUAUCUGUCUGCCAGCUGGGCAGGGGUUUCUACCAGCUGAGCCAUUGUUACUUAUCUUCCAUUUUCUGAUUAAACUACAAUCUCUUUGUG
This is a long non-coding RNA of Hippopotamus amphibius kiboko, 738 nucleotides long. RefSeq lists it as uncharacterized. The record is from RefSeq and is a predicted model, not a curated record. Lineage: Eukaryota; Metazoa; Chordata; Mammalia; Artiodactyla; Hippopotamidae. The transcript has 2 exons.